UAAUAGCCUAUUUAUAAGAGGGUGGAAAAUACGAACAACAGUUUAAACACCAAAGAAUUUGGCGGUGUCUCAAUUAAUUAGGGGAACCUGUCCCUUAAAUCGAUAAUCCACGAAAGCCUUACCUAGCUUUGAAACUCAGUUAGUGUACUGCCGUCUUAAGCAUACCUUUAUAAGUGUAUACAAUACAUCAUUUAACUGAUAAAACGUCAGGUCAAAGUGCAGCUUAUAGCUAGGCGGAGAUGGGUUACAACCUUAAUAUAGAUUACGGAUAAACCAAUAAAAUGGCUUUUAAGGUGGACUUAACAGUAAUUAACUAUCUAUUAAUGAAAAUUAUAUGAGACAAGU
This 345-nucleotide ribosomal RNA is filed under the name Placobdella lamothei. Its description in RNAcentral is "partial 12S ribosomal RNA". It matches the Rfam family "Bacterial small subunit ribosomal RNA", at positions 874 to 1384 of the family's 1533-position model. Lineage: Eukaryota; Metazoa; Annelida; Clitellata; Rhynchobdellida; Glossiphoniidae. The record is from RNAcentral.